RNAcentral lists this ribosomal RNA (253 nucleotides) under uncultured bacterium. RNAcentral describes it as "partial 16S ribosomal RNA". It matches the Rfam family "Bacterial small subunit ribosomal RNA", at positions 524 to 776 of the family's 1533-position model. The record is from RNAcentral.
UACGGGGGGGGCAAGCGUUGUUCGGAAUUACUGGGCGUAAAGGGCUCGUAGGCGGCCAACUAAGUCAGAUGUGAAAUCCCUCGGCUUAACCGGGGAACUGCAUCUGAUACUGGAUGGCUUGAGAUUGGCAGAGGGAUGCGGAAUUCCAGGUGUAGCGGUGAAAUGCGUAGAUAUCUGGAGGAAUACCGGUGGCGAAGGCGGCAUCCUGGACCGACAUUGACGCUGAUGAGCGAAAGCUAGGGGAGCAAACAGG